UUCUUCACUUUGUUAUAGACAGAUCUAAACAAACCGUUCUAACUGUUACUAACAAAACCCUCGCUCUACUUCAGAGAAUAAUGACGAAUUUGACUAACCUAUCUAGUUAGCCCCCUGGGUUCUUAACUAACUCUACCUUAAAGUUCUUCCUGUUAACUAACCCGGCCUGGAGAGUCAACCUCUUGUGUUAACUCUCACAAGAAAUCAAACUGCUGAUCUUUUCCAGCACUCUACUCUCUCCCUGUGAACCCAGUUGUUUUAAACCCUACACCUUCACACACCAGCUCUCUCCGAACUCUCCACUUCCCACCUUCUCCUCUUCUCUUCCUCUCGGCCCCUCCCCACUCCUCUGGCCAAUCCUAGGAGCCUCCUCACUCCUCCCCUUUUCCAACCUUCCUCACUCAAGAUGGCUGCCUUGCUGGCAUUCUCUCACAACAUGGAGGCCUGCCAUACUGUUAUCCAGGCUCCCUUUCCGGCCUACCAGGAGACGAAACGUAGGUACACCAUUACGACUCGGAGACAAAGCAUCAGUCUAUGGAAUAUCAACACAAAGACUCGCCCCAGAAAAAAAAUUCAAGACACAGCCCUCAGCUGGAAAAAUCAUGACAACAGUGUUCUGGGAUGCAGAUGGUGUUAUCUAUGUUGAUUUCCUUGAAUGUGGAACAACAAUAAAUUCAGAAUGUUACAUCACAAUGCUGCAAACUUUGAAACAACGGCUAACAAGGGUCCGAAGGAAAAGGGAAAUGUUUUCCUGCAGCAUGACAAUGUCAGACCACACACUUUACAUGCCACCACAGCAGAACUGGAUCUCACCACCGUACAGCAUCCUCCAUACAGUCCAGAUUUAGCACCAUCUGACUUCCAUCUGUUCCCGAUAAUGAAAGAAGAUCUGCGGGGACAUCAUUAUGCUUCUGAUGAAGACGUUGAGAGAACUGUGAGACACUGGUUGCGGAAACAGAGUGUCGACUUCUUCCGUGACGGCUUCAGAAAACUUGUUCAUCGUUGGCAGAAAUGUAUCCAAUUGUCUGCUGAUUAUGUGGAAAUGUCAAUAGUGAUAGUUAAAGAGCACAUUCUAAGGAUUAUUUCUGUGUUUGAUUUAUUAAAAUAUUCCCAUCCAAACCCAAGUAACGAAGAUGGAGGCAUUACUUUUCAUUCAACCCUCCUAUAUGUGACAUCAAAUUGUUGCCUUUGUAAGGCCACUCUGAGUCCCCUUCAGAGUGAGGACAGGAUACAAAUGUGAUAAAUAAAUAAAUAAUACGGCAUUGAAUAAUUUGUUUCUAAGGACAAAUAAAUCGUGCUUUGCACAGACAAACACAUAUAAUUUUUGAAAAAGGCAGUCCUACAGUUCUGCAUUUACAACUUUAAAAUACUUUGGUGAUUUUUGAAUGGUGCAAAUAAUGCAUACUAAAGAAAAUGCAUCUGCCUUAUGAGUACAAAUGAAAAUUCAGAAAUGUAAUACUGAAGGUUAUACCUUUCACUUAUGAAUUUAUUGAAUCCAAAAAAUAAGAAAAAAAUAAAAUUUCAAAAAUGAUUAUUUAAUGCUUUAUCAUUGUAAAUCCAAAUACAUCACCAAUACCUGUCUUUUUAUAAUUCCCAAUUUUAUCACUCAACUAAAAUGAUAGAAAAAAAGAAUUUGGCUCUGUUCCCUUUUAUUCUUUGUUGUGUUGAUUUGAAGAUGCUACUUGUCAAAAGGGACAAAUGUGGAAUUUAUCCUCUCAGGACUGAACAAGAAAGUGAGACAUAUCUUCCAUUUUCUCCAGAGUGAAACUUCAGUUUCUUGGGAUUCUGAAUAUAACUUAGAAUCCCAAAGGGACUUGUUAAGAAGUUUUGUUGUUUGAGUCUAAAUGUGAUCCUGUGGAGUUGGUGGUGUUAUUGUCAAUGCCGUGCCACCAAGGAGGAAACUGUUGUACAUCUACAUCCACAGAGAGACUGUUUUGAUCAGUAAUAACUGUAAGACUGUUAUUUCUAUGGAGCAAUUAAUACAGUUUAUGGCUCAUGUUGUUCAAUGGAAAGCAACAAGUUACACACAAAUUGUCAACCAUUACGUCAGAGAGCCAGGGAAUGAUGAAAUUAGGUUUCAAAAGUUCAGUGAUAAAUGGGAAUGAGGUUACUCUUUUGGUUCAACAACUCAUGUUUUACACCUAAAUUCUAAAGAUACUUUAAAAUAGCAAAUUUAGUCAUUUUGAGCAGAAUAUUCCAGUUCCAUUGCAAUUCUCUUACAAAUCUUAAUACUUUUUUUAAAGAGAUAAUGCUUUGUCACCACUCAAAUCAGGUUGGUGAAAUACUCUUGAGUGUUGGACUGGACUCUGGAAGACCAGGCCUGAAUCCUCCAUCCGCCUUGGAAAACUCACUUGGUGGCAGUGGGCAGGUUAUAUAGUUUCUCAGCUCUAGAGGAAGGCAAUGUAAAUGUCCUCUGAAUAAAAUUUGCCAAGAAAACCCUAUUAGAGUUCACCAUUAGUUGACUUAACGGCAUGUAAUAAUGACAAGAUGCUAUCUAUUUAAUACAUUUGUCAUAUAUAGAGCUCCAGCAAUAGUCUUUCUUUUCUACAGCAUUCCAUCUGAAAAACAUUAUUGUAUUUCCGUUGCAUUGCAUCUCCCCCCACAUUAAUGGUAACAAAUAAUAGAGGGUUUUUUUGCACUGAGUUGCACAAUGAAUUGAUUUCAGCUUUCCAAGCUCUGUACGUAACCCAAAUAUCCGCUGUUUAUGUGAGAUGAACAAUUACUCAAACUAAUCUGAAUCAAUAUGAAUGUGGACUCUUGUCCAUUGUUUUUGUUAUUGAAGACCCCCCAACCCCACCCGUAAUGAAAAGGAGAUAUGAUUCAGUUCUCAAGGGAGUUAUAGUUUCCCAAGGACGGGAGGCCAUAUGAAUGGGAACGAGCUAUGACCUGCCUCCUGACCAGUCAAAAGCCUGGGAAACGCUGGCUGGCUUCUGGCACUGGCCAAUCAGAGGAAAGGGAGAGAGUUUCAAAACGUAGCAAUGUUAAUAAAUAAAAACUCUUGUGUAUAAAAACGCUUGCUUAUGAUUAUGUUUUUACACUUGUGCCCUUUGAGCACCAAUCGUUGUACAAGUGUCCCUUCUGCACAGAUUGAAUAAAGGAUAUGUCGUUUGCCUUCAA
Long non-coding RNA from Anolis carolinensis (green anole), 3117 nucleotides. RefSeq lists it as uncharacterized. The transcript has 2 exons. The record is from RefSeq and is a predicted model, not a curated record. NCBI's taxonomy places the organism in Eukaryota, Metazoa, Chordata, Lepidosauria, Squamata, Anolidae.